GGUGAGGUGGGUGAGUGGCUGAAACCACCAGUUUGCUAAACUGGCGUACGGAUAACUCUGUACCGCGGGUUCGAAUCCCGCCCUCACCG
RNAcentral lists this transfer RNA (89 nucleotides) under Draconibacterium sp. RNAcentral describes it as "tRNA-Ser". It matches the Rfam family "tRNA". Rfam says of the family: Transfer RNA (tRNA) molecules are approximately 80 nucleotides in length. Their secondary structure includes four short double-helical elements and three loops (D, anti-codon, and T loops). The record is from RNAcentral. Lineage: Bacteria; Pseudomonadati; Bacteroidota; Bacteroidia; Marinilabiliales; Prolixibacteraceae. RNAcentral also lists the same sequence under 3 other names.